GUGGGGAAUUUUGGACAAUGGGCGCAAGCCUGAUCCAGCAAUGCCGCGUGUGUGAAGAAGGCCUUCGGGUUGUAAAGCACUUUUGUCCGGAAAGAAAUGGCCUGGGUUAAUACCCCGGGUCGAUGACGGUACCGGAAGAAUAAGCACCGGCUAACUACGUGCCAGCAGCCGCGGUAAUACGUAGGGUGCGAGCGUUAAUCGGAAUUACUGGGCGGAAAGCGUGCGCAGGCGGCGAUGCAAGACAGAUGUGAAAUACCCGGGCUCAACCUGGGAACUGCAUUUGUGACUGCAUGGCUAGAGUGCGUCAGAGGGGGGUGGAAUUCCGCGUGUAGCAGUGAAAUGCGUAGAGAUGCGGAGGAACACCGAUGGCGAAGGCAGCCCCCUGGGAUGACACUGACGCUCAUGCACGAAAGCGUGGGGAGCAAACAGGAUUAGAUACCCGUGUAGUCC
RNAcentral lists this ribosomal RNA (450 nucleotides) under uncultured bacterium. RNAcentral describes it as "partial 16S ribosomal RNA". It matches the Rfam family "Bacterial small subunit ribosomal RNA", at positions 354 to 796 of the family's 1533-position model. The record is from RNAcentral.